UGCAGGUGAGGUUGAAUUCCAUCUCGGUUGCGGCCGCCGCGCGCACUCGGAUACCUCUUUCCACUCUCCUCCUUUCUCCGCACGCCCGCGCCCACCGAGUCCCCAUCUCCCUCCCAGCUCCGAGCGCGCUCCCGCUGCCGCUCCCGCUGCCGCUCGCUCUCUACAGCCGUGGCCGCGAGCGGAGUGCGGCUCGACCCGACGGCGCGCUGUGUAGGUCUGCUGCCUCUCACAUGGAAAGCGCAGCUCCCUAGUUUCCCUUAGCUCGUCUCUCGCACGGCUCUCUGUGUCUCUGGCCGACCGCGACACACGUAGAGCAGUGCAAAACCCCGGGGGCCUGUAUUUGGAAUAAGAAAAGCAUUGCUGCUUUGCGACUGGACGGACGAAAGAAAGGACUCCUCUGACAUUUCCUGUGGAUGUUUUAAUUCGGACGCCUCGUUACCGAGGCUUUGCAGUCAACUGCCUGGGCAUAUAGGAGGUUCAGAGGAGUUCUCUUCUUUCUUUUUCUGGUCGUUGGCAGCAAUCGCGAUCAAGCAUUCCAAGCAGGUGGGGGUCAAAGGGGGUCGUGGACCGAGUGGUGAGUUGGUGAGGAACGCCCGGGGCGUUGGACACGAUGUUGGCACCUGCAUGAACCUGACGUCGAAGCCUGGGCACCAGUUCUCUUUCCUGAGACGAAAACCGCAGGAUGGCGCUUGGGAAAGGUAAGACCAAAAUAAAUCUCAAAAGUGUGAUUGGACGGUUCCGACAGCGUUUUUAAAAAUCAUUUUUACUCUAUAUCGUCACACUUGUUUGCUGUGGGCUUGUCUUUCCCAUGAAGCAGAAAUACAUCUUAGUCUCCAUAUUUUUCCCUGUUUUGUUCCAGCAGUGAUGCUGAGGUUUGUGUGAG
This 883-nucleotide long non-coding RNA is filed under the name Gadus morhua (Atlantic cod). RNAcentral's name for it is "lncRNA (ENSGMOG00000025177.1)". Lineage: Eukaryota; Metazoa; Chordata; Actinopteri; Gadiformes; Gadidae. The record is from RNAcentral.